CUUGUUUGCGGUAUUUCCAUCAUCAGCUACUGGAUUAAUGGGGCUUGAUUUCAGUUUUUUCAUUGGACUGGUAUCAUCUUCAACAAGUUGAGAUUCAUUGCUUUCAAUAACAGCUGACAGAACGGAUGAUAUCUCUGGAGUCCUGGCACAUGGCUCUCCCCAACCAAAAUCAGAGCAGUCAAAAGAGUUACUUCCAACAUCAGAGUUGAAGUAGAUAUCGGUACCAGCUGAAGGGGCAAAUGAGCCAAAUCCCGUAUCUCCAGAAGCACUGCUCCCAUCCUCACAUCCAAACUGCUUCGUCAUGGGUUUCUCUUCAAGAAAUCCCAAAGAAUCAUAACAGCAAUCCUCCAUGUUGUUUAUGAUAGUCGAGUCGGGCUGAACCGAGUCCAGGAUCUCCUUAGGAAGGACCUUUUGAGGAUUCACCUUAACAGUACGUCUCGAGGCAGGCACUGGAGCUUCAUCGGGAAAGUUUACCUUAGCUUUAUUGCCUCUGAUCCUCCUAGCCUCAACAUCAUAAGCUCUGGCAGCUUCUUCUGCAGUAUUGAAAGUUCCCAGCCACACCCGAACCCCUUUUCUUGGGUCACGUAUUUCAGCUGCCCACUUACCCCAAGGUCGCUGUCUGAUCCCCCUAUACUGAUUCUUCCUCUUUCUCUUAGAGGAUCUAUCAGCAUCCUUGUCUGAAUCAUCAGUUUUCACAGAUUUGGAGCCUUCAACUAAUAAAAUGAAUCAAGUAUUUUAGUCAUCCAUUAUGCCACUACAAGUUGCAAUGACUAAUUGAUAAAAUAGCAUGAUAUAUAGAUAACCAUAACGCACAAGAUGCCUAAUUACAAGAAAACAUACAGAACACUUUCCCUGAUAUCAGUGGUGCUAGAUUACUACAGCCAACAGCUUACACAAAAACACAACAAUCAAUUCUUCCCAAAAUGUCUACGUAUCAUGAUUAACAACCACAGAACUGAGAAAACCUAGAUCUAAGCUUAUUGCCUGAUCAAGUCCUGUUCUUUUAGUUCUUUCUAUAAGCAUAAUGAAGUAAAUUCUCUGGAGGUACAGAGCUCAUAAUCCAGAGAUCCUGCUCCCAAAAGUAACUAUUUAGCAAUCAAAUUGGAGCUAAACAGGAGAUUUUGACCCAAAUAAACAACACACUGAUAAAAAGAUUGAUUUUUAUAACCACUUUUUGGUCUAAAAGUCUUCAUAAAGUUUUCCAGCCAGAUUCAAUGUGAUGAUGUAGAUGUUGAUGAGUAUUAAAGUUGAUAAGACAUAAUAAACGUAAAAGUUAGAGAGAAAAAAACAUGAUUAACUUUCUGUUUGGUGCCAACGAGCCCUCAGAUUAAAGGUUCUAUCCAAAAUAUCCAUCUUCAUUUUUGCACUAACUCGGAUUCAUUGUUUUAGUUAAUCAAGUAAAAAAAAAAGCAUCUUGGCUUCUACCUAUUUUCACAUGCCGCACAUUUUCCCUAUUGCCAAAAAGCUACCUCCUUUUGUCCACUUAAAUUUCAAAUCUAAUAACAAUAACUUCACUAGCAGACACAAAAUCUCAAUCCAGGCCAAUAAUAGCUACAGUAGUCGUUAUCAAUCAAUUAAAUGAACUAUUCACUAUUCCCUUCCCGCAGCAGAUCACAAAAGAGGAAAACAAGGUUUUUAAAAAAAAUACCAUUAGAGUUUUUCGAAGCAGAGAAGGCAAAUGGCUUGACAUCGACUUGAACAUCCUCGUCAUCGGAGAAAUCUUUAAAGUCCUGAAAAUCAGCCUCGAAGUCAUCGUCUAGGUCAACUACUUGGGAUCUCAACGGCUUGGAGUGAUAAUUGUUAGGAUUUUUUUGCUUAUU
This 1820-nucleotide long non-coding RNA is filed under the name Nicotiana tabacum (common tobacco). Its description in RNAcentral is "long non-coding RNA (NTAB_LNC008789)". Lineage: Eukaryota; Viridiplantae; Streptophyta; Magnoliopsida; Solanales; Solanaceae. The record is from RNAcentral.